GAUGAACGCUAGCGGGAGGCCUAAUACAUGCAAGUCGAACGGUAAGGCUCCUUCGGGAGUACACGAGUGGCGAACGGGUGCGUAACGCGUACGAAACAUGCCUUUAUCAGGAGGAUAGCCCCAGGAAACUGGGAAUAAUACUCCAUAGUAUUGUAUCACCGCAUGGUGUUUACAAUUAAAGCUCCGGCGGAUAAAGAUUGUCGUGCGUCCCAUUAGCUAGUUGGUGAGGUAACUGCUCACCAAGGCGACGAUGGGUAGCUGGUUUGAGAGGAUGAUCAGCCACACUGGUACUGAGACACGGACCAG
RNAcentral lists this ribosomal RNA (306 nucleotides) under uncultured bacterium. Its description in RNAcentral is "bacterial SSU rRNA". It matches the Rfam family "Bacterial small subunit ribosomal RNA", at positions 28 to 334 of the family's 1533-position model. The record is from RNAcentral.